This 411-nucleotide ribosomal RNA is filed under the name Actinomycetes bacterium. Its description in RNAcentral is "Actinobacteria bacterium partial 16S ribosomal RNA". It matches the Rfam family "Bacterial small subunit ribosomal RNA", at positions 355 to 776 of the family's 1533-position model. Lineage: Bacteria; Bacillati; Actinomycetota; Actinomycetes. The record is from RNAcentral.
UGGGGAAUAUUGCACAAUGGGCGCAAGCCUGAUGCAGCGACGCCGCGUGGGGGAUGACGGCCUUCGGGUUGUAAACUCCUUUCGCUAGGGACGAAGCUUUUUGUGACGGUACCUAGAUAAGAAGCACCGGCUAACUACGUGCCAGCAGCCGCGGUAAUACGUAGGGUGCGAGCGUUGUCCGGAAUUACUGGGCGUAAAGGGCUCGUAGGUGGUUUGUCGCGUCGACUGUGAAAUUCCGGGGCUUAACUCCGGGCGUGCAGGCGAUACGGGCAUAACUUGAGUACUGUAGGGGUAACUGGAAUUCCUGGUGUAGCGGUGAAAUGCGCAGAUAUCAGGAGGAACACCGAUGGCGAAGGCAGGUUACUGGGCAGUUACUGACGCUGAGGAGCGAAAGCAUGGGUAGCGAACAGG